GUAGGUGGCAAGCGUUGUCCGGAAUUAUUGGGCGUAAAGCGCGCGCAGGUGGUUCUUUAAGUCUGAUGUGAAAGCCCCCGGGCUCAACCGGGGAGGGUCAUUGGAAACUGGGGAACUUGAGUGCAGGAGAGGAAAGUGGAAUUCCACGUGUAGCGGUGAAAUGCGUAGAUAUGUGGAGGAACACCAGUGGCGAAGGCGACUUUCUGGCCUGUAACUGACACUGAGGCGCGAAAGCGUGGGGGAGCAAACAGGAUUAGAUACCCUGGUAGUCCACGCCGUAAACGAUGAGUGCUAAGUGUUGGGGGGUUUCCGCCCCUCAGUGCUGCAGCUAACGCAUUAAGCACUCCGCCUGGGGAGUACGGUCGCAAAGACUG
Molecule: ribosomal RNA, 374 nt
Filed under: uncultured organism
Description: partial 16S ribosomal RNA
Rfam family: Bacterial small subunit ribosomal RNA
Source: RNAcentral